GCACAGAACUGAAGCCCCAGUAAACGGCGGCCGUAACUAUAACGGUCCUAAGGUAGCGAAAUUCCUUGUCGGGUAAGUUCCGACCCGCACGAAAGGCGUAACGAUUUGGGCGCUGUCUCAACAAUGGACUCGGUGAAAUUGUAGUACCGGUAAAGAUGCCGGUUACCCGCAGCUAGACGGAAAGACCCCGUGGAGCUUUACUGCAGCUUGGCACUGGAUAAUGGUAUAUCAUGUACAGGAUAGGUGGGAGACAGAGAAGUUAGGACGCCAGUCUUAAUGGAGUCGCUGUUGGGAUACCACUCUUGGUAUAACGUUAUUCUAACUGUAAUCAGUUACCCUGAUUCAGGACAAUGUCAGGUGGGCAGUUUGACUGGGGCGGUCGCCUCCGAAAGAGUAACGGAGGCGCCUAAAGGUUCCCUCAGCGCGGUUGGAAAUCGCGCGAAGAGUGUAAAGGCAAAAGGGAGCUUGACUGCGAGAGAGACAUCUCGAGCAGGGACGAAAGUCGAGCUUAGUGAUCCGGUGGCACCGCAUGGAAGGGCCAUCGCUCAACGGAUAAAAGCUACCCCGGGGAUAACAGGCUUAUCUCCCCCAAGAGUCCACAUCGACGGGGAGGUUUGGCACCUCGAUGUCGGCUCGUCUCAUCCUGGGGCUGAAGUAGGUCCCAAGGGUUGGGCUGUUCGCCCAUUAAAGAGGCACGCGAGCUGGGUUCAGAACGUCGUGAGACAGUUCGGUCCCUAUCUGCUGUGGGCGUAGGAAAUUUGAGAGGAGCUGUCCUUAGUACGAGAGGACCGGGAUGGACAAACCUCUGGUGCAUCAGUUGUCUUGCCAAAGGCACGGCUGAGUAGCUAAGUUUGGAAGGGAUAAGCGCUGAAGGCAUCUAAGCGCGAAGCCCCCCUCAAGAUGAGAUUUCCCAUCCUUAAAUGGAGUAAGACCCCAUGAAGAUAAUGUGGUAAUAGGCCUGAGGUGUAAGUGCAGCAAUGUACUCAGCUGACAGGUACUAAUAGGUCGAGGACUUGACCAA
Molecule: ribosomal RNA, 1021 nt
Filed under: Fusibacter tunisiensis
Lineage: Bacteria; Bacillati; Bacillota; Clostridia; Eubacteriales; Fusibacteraceae
Description: partial 23S ribosomal RNA
Rfam family: Bacterial large subunit ribosomal RNA
Source: RNAcentral